AUGAAUCUUGGUACUCUUGUUAUCAUGGUGACUUUGCUGGUGUAUUUUGUCUUGAAGAAUAUAAGAGUGCUACUGUCCCAGCAGCAACGUGGGCGACGAGGCAGGCUGCCCCCGGGGCCUGUCACGCUGCCCAUCAUCGGUAACAUGCACCAGCUGAUUCUGAACAAGCCAGCAGUAUUCCGGUGGAUCCAUGGCCUGCUCAAGGAGAUGAAAACAGACAUCAUGUGCCUCCGUCUUGGGGCUACUCAUGUCAUUGUGGUGGCAUGCCCACAGAUAGUCUGUGAGGUACUGCGAACAAAAGAUGAAGUUUUCGCCUCCCGUCCCACCACCUUCGCCUCAGGCUUAUUCAGCUUCGGGUACAAGGGCUCCAUCUUCUCACCACAAGGAGAGCAGUGGAAGAAGAUGAGGCGUGUCCUCACCGUUCAGAUCCUCGCCUCGUCCAUGGAGGGAAAGCUCCACCACCUCCGGAAAGAGGAGUACGACCACCUUGUGAGGUACAUUAAUAAAACUCUUUCCAGCGACAUGGCAAUGUCCAAUCAACAUUGUCAACAUUCGUCAUGUAACCCAACACUACGUUGGUAA
Molecule: ribosomal RNA, 582 nt
Filed under: Triticum aestivum (bread wheat)
Lineage: Eukaryota; Viridiplantae; Streptophyta; Magnoliopsida; Poales; Poaceae
Description: partial small subunit ribosomal RNA
Source: RNAcentral